GCGGAUAUAGUUUAAUGGUAAAACAUCUCCUUGCCAAGGAGAGGACGCGGGUUCGAUUCCCGCUAUCCGCC
This 71-nucleotide transfer RNA is filed under the name Salvinia molesta. RNAcentral describes it as "tRNA-Gly". It matches the Rfam family "tRNA". From Rfam's summary of the family: Transfer RNA (tRNA) molecules are approximately 80 nucleotides in length. Their secondary structure includes four short double-helical elements and three loops (D, anti-codon, and T loops). Lineage: Eukaryota; Viridiplantae; Streptophyta; Polypodiopsida; Salviniales; Salviniaceae. The record is from RNAcentral.